GGCAAAACUCUUUCAACCAAGUCUCUUUAUUUGCUCAGGAAUUCGUAUUGCGUAGUGUAUAACCUGAUUGCAUUUGAAAAGGACAAAGCAAAGGAAUAGUGCUAUAUAUGCUCUAUUUUAUAUUCUGUAAUAUUGGAAUGGUUUUGGCCUAAGGUUGGCCCAGUUAUGCUUGUGCUUUAGGGCUAUCAUAGUUUCAUUGUUUCCAAUGGCUAUUACAAAAUUCUAUUAUUUGCAACUGUUAUGCAAAACCUGGCUCAGUGUUUGUGACUGUGAACACCUACACAAGCUUGGCAGUGCAUAUGGAAAUACUUGCCUAGCAUAGUUGCCUAUCCAUUCUUGUUGAUCCAGCUGCUUCAAUUUGGAAAUAUAAAAUUUCAAUAAUUUUUGUAGGAAGAAAAACUUAUGUGUAAAAACCUUUGGUGGUGGUGGGUGGUGUUAUAAUAGAAAAUCCACUUGAGUUUGUAAUCCUCGUAUUAUCAUUACUGUUGAAUGUGUAUGGCCCUGGUAUCAA
RNAcentral lists this unclassified non-coding RNA (511 nucleotides) under Hevea brasiliensis (rubber tree). The record is from RNAcentral. Lineage: Eukaryota; Viridiplantae; Streptophyta; Magnoliopsida; Malpighiales; Euphorbiaceae.